GACGAACGCUGGCGGCGUGCUUAACACAUGCAAGUCGAACGGAACGGCCCUGCUUUUGUGGGGUGCUCGAGUGGCGAACGGGUGAGUAACACGUGAGUAACCUGCCCUUGACUUUGGGAUAACUUCAGGAAACUGGGGCUAAUACCGGAUAGGAGCUCCCGCUGCAUGGUGGGGGUUGGAAAGUUUCGGCGGUUGGGGAUGGACUCGCGGCUUACCAGCUUGCUGGUGGGGUAGUGGCUUACCAAGGCUUUGACGGGUACCCGGCCUGAGAGGGUGACCGGCCACAUUGGGACUGAGGUACGGACCAGAGUCCUACGGGAGGCAGCGGUGGGGAGUAUUGCACAAUGGGCGGGAGCCUGAUGCGGCAACGCCGCGUGCGGGAUGACGGCCUUCGGGUUGUGAACCGCUUUCGCCUGUGACGAAGCGUGAGUGACGGUAAUGGGUAAAGAAGCACCGGCUAACUACGUG
RNAcentral lists this ribosomal RNA (468 nucleotides) under uncultured bacterium. Its description in RNAcentral is "partial 16S ribosomal RNA". It matches the Rfam family "Bacterial small subunit ribosomal RNA", at positions 28 to 507 of the family's 1533-position model. The record is from RNAcentral.